GUCCAGACUCCUACGGGAGGCAGCAGUGGGGGAUAUUGCACAAUGGGGGGGACCCUGAUGCAGCGACGCCGCGUGGGUGAAGAAGUAUUUCGGUAUGUAAAGCCCUAUCGGCAGGGAAGAAAUUGGACGGUACCUGACUAAGAAGCCCCGGCUAACUACGUGCCAGCAGCCGCGGUAAUACGUAGGGGGCAAGCGUUAUCCGGAUUUACUGGGUGUAAAGGGAGCGUAGACGGCGAUGCAAGUCUGAAGUGAAAGGCGGGGGCCCAACCCCCGGACUGCUUUGGAAACUGUAUAGCUGGAGUGCAGGAGAGGUAAGUGGAAUUCCUAGUGUAGCGGUGAAAUGCGUAGAUAUUAGGAGGAACACCAGUGGCGAAGGCGGCUUACUGGACUGUAACUGACGUUGAGGCUCGAAAGCGUGGGGAGCAAACAGGAUUAGAUACCCUAGUAGAU
Molecule: ribosomal RNA, 450 nt
Filed under: uncultured bacterium
Lineage: Bacteria
Description: bacterial SSU rRNA
Rfam family: Bacterial small subunit ribosomal RNA
Source: RNAcentral